Molecule: long non-coding RNA, 545 nt
Filed under: Mytilus galloprovincialis (Mediterranean mussel)
Lineage: Eukaryota; Metazoa; Mollusca; Bivalvia; Mytilida; Mytilidae
Source: RNAcentral
CUUUAUAUCAAGGAAGAUAAAAAUGUAUUACAAGGACAUUGACAAACAUCAAUAUUCUGAUCUUCCGCCUUCUGGCCAUCAAUAUAACACUUCACAUCCCACAUCUUCGGGAUAAAAGGAACUAAAAAAAACCUACAAAACAAUCUCGAUAUCUCGAUUUAACAAACGUCGGAAUCACACAUCCCACAUCUUCGGGAUAAAAGGCUACAGAAACUAAAAAAUAUACCUACAAAGCAAUCUCGACAUCUUUAACAAACGCCGGAAUCACACAUUCCACAUCUUCGGGAUAAAAGUCUACAGGAACUAAAAAAAAUACCUACAUAAUAUACUCGACAUCUUUAACAAACGCCGGACUCACACAACCCACAUCUAAUAAACGUCAAAACUUUUUCCAUUGUAGAAUUGGGAAAUACUCAAACAUGAAAUUCGUCCGAAAAAUAUGAAAGAAAAAAAUCGAGAAGCCAUAAAAUUUUAUUCAUAAUAGUGUGAAUAAAAUUACAGAUCGUAGGACAAAUGACAUCCGCACACAUAAAAAAAAAUCACAC